This 493-nucleotide ribosomal RNA is filed under the name uncultured bacterium. RNAcentral's name for it is "bacterial SSU rRNA". It matches the Rfam family "Bacterial small subunit ribosomal RNA", at positions 30 to 509 of the family's 1533-position model. The record is from RNAcentral.
AUUGAACGCUGGCGGCAUGCCUAACACAUGCAAGUCGAGCGGCAGCGCGGGUAGCUUGCUACCUGGCGGCGAGUGGCGGACGGGUGAGUAAUGCAUAGGAAUCUGCUCAGUAGCGGGGGAUAGCCCGGGGAAACCCGGAUUAAUACCGCAUACGCCCUACGGGGGAAAGACAGGGGAUCUUCGGACCUUGCACUAUUGGAUGAGCCUAUGUCUGAUUAGCUUGUUGGUGGGGUAACGGCCUACCAAGGCGACGAUCAGUAGCUGGUCUGAGAGGACGAUCAGCCACACCGGAACUGAGACACGGUCCGGACUCCUACGGGAGGCAGCAGUGGGGAAUAUUGGACAAUGGGGGAAACCCGUGAUCCAGCAAUGCCGCGUGUGUGAAGAAGGCCUGCGGGUUGUAAAGCACUUUCAGUUGGGAAGAAACAGCAGCCGGCUAAUAUCCGGUUGUCUUGACGUAACCAACAGAAGAAGCACCGGCUAACUCCGUGCC